This is a small nuclear RNA of Antechinus flavipes (yellow-footed antechinus), 104 nucleotides long. NCBI's taxonomy places the organism in Eukaryota, Metazoa, Chordata, Mammalia, Dasyuromorphia, Dasyuridae. The record is from RefSeq and is a predicted model, not a curated record.
AUGUUUUCAGUGGCAUAUGUGAUAAAACUGGAACCACACAGAAAAAAUUAGUAAGAUUCCUGUAUAAGAAUGGCAUGAACAUACAUGAAGCAUUCAGAUAUGAG